GGGGCUGAGAGAGUUUUAAAAGGUUUUUUUUUUGUUUUUUUUUAAAAUGUUUUAAAAUGAAGUUUUUGAAAGAAUGGGGGCUUUUAUACGGUACCAAAAUGGUACCGUUUUUGGAGGGCCUCCAGACGCCCAAAACGACGUCGUUUCAGGGAGGCCGACCCGAAUCCGACCCGACCCGACCUAGGAUCCGCGUGAUUUUGAGCGGAGGGGUAAAUUGCG
This 219-nucleotide long non-coding RNA is filed under the name Gossypium raimondii (Peruvian cotton). RNAcentral's name for it is "long non-coding RNA (GRAI_LNC008092)". The record is from RNAcentral. Lineage: Eukaryota; Viridiplantae; Streptophyta; Magnoliopsida; Malvales; Malvaceae.